CCAGUUUGAUCCUGACUGUGUCUGAGGCUUCGGUCAAAGAUUAAGCCAUGCAAGUUUCAAUCCGUCGAUUCGUUCGAUAAAUUGCGUACAGCUCAUUGAUCAGUUAUCAUCUCUUUGAAAAUGAUUUUCUAUAUGGAUAUCGAUAGAAACUCUAGCGCUAAUACAUGCAUCAAGACCUAAUCUUACGAGAGGGUUGUAUUUAUUAGAUUGUAAUCAACACUGAAUUUCGGUUCAUUUUUGGUGAUUCCUAGUAACUGUUCGGAUCUCAUACGUAUGUGUGAGACAGUUCAUUCGAGUUUCUGUGGUAUUAGCUGUGAUGGUAGUGUAUUGGACUACCAUGGCAUUGAUGCCAACGGGGUGCUAGAGCACGACACCGGAGAACUUAGCCUUCGAGACGGCUAGUAUCACCAAGGUAAGCAGCAGGCGCGAAAAUUACUCUAUUUAGACACAAAGAAGUAGUGACCACCAUUAUUGAUCUUAUCUGUUUCGAUAGAUGAGAAUCAAAAUGAGACCAAUGUAAAUAUCUUCAACGAAAGCUAGAGGAGGGCAAGUCUGGUGCCAGCAGCCGCGGUAAUUCCAGCUCCUUCAGCCUGAGAUAGAAUUGUUGCAGUUAAAACGCUCGUAGUUGGAUUUUGUGGUGUGGUUUUGUGAUAUUUUGUAUGCAUAUUCGUAUGUAUAUGAGAUACCACAACACACUAUAAUGGUGUUUUCUACGUUUCGACAAGGAAAACAUAUUACUGUGAGAAAAAGAGUGCGCUUAAGGGCGGCUUAUAUGCUAAGAUCAUUUAGCAUGGAAUAAACAUAACGGACAUUGGUUUGUUAUGUGUUGGUUUUCAAACCAAGUCAUGAUUGAUAAGGAUGGUUUGGGGAUGUUCGUAUUUAUACUCGAGGGGUGAAAUCUGAUAACAGUAUAAGGACGAUCUUUAGCGAAAGCAUUCAUCAAUUCCAGUCCUAUUAAUCAAGAACGAAAGUUGGGGGAUCGAAAGUGAUUAGAUACCACUGUAGUCUCAACCAUAAACGAUGUCAUCUAUGGAUUCGUCUUGUACAUUUUAAAUUCAUGUAACAGUGGAUUUUAUUCGUCAAGAGGAGCACAUUGUGAGAAAUCAAAGAGUCUGGACUCUGGGGAGAGUAUGGUAGCAAUGCUGAAAUUUAAAGGAAUUGACGGAAGUGGUACCACCAGGAGUGGAUCGUGCGGCUUAAUUUGACUCAACACGGGAAAACUUACCAGUGCCGAACAUAGUGAGGAUAGACAGACUGCAGCUCUUUCUUGAUUCUGUGCUUUUUUUACGUAGUGCAUGGCCUUUGGGAAGUGAGUGGAUUGAUUUUUCUGAUUAAUUUCGAUAACUAGCGAGACCUCGAUCAUGUUAAUUGCAUAAUCCAUACAUUUGUAUGAUGUGUUAUGCUCUUAGUGAGACACUUGGUGUUGUAGCCAAAGGAAGCUCGAGGCGAUAAAAGGUCCGUGAUGCUCUCAGAUGUUCUGGGCCGCACGCGCGAUACACUGAUUUGGUCAUGGAGUAGUGAGGUUUUUUUCUUUCGAGGAAAGAACAUCUCCUGUAUCGAGAGAUAUGGGGAAUCUUGGAAACCAAAUCGUGCUGGGGAUUGAUGACUGCAACUGUUAUCAUGAACGAGGAAUUCCUAGUAAACAUACGUCAUCAGCGUAUAUUGAUUACGUCCCUGCCCUUUGUACACACCGCCCGUCGCUGUUACCGAUUGAAUGGCUUAGUGAGGUGUAAGGAGGAGUACAUUUGUAUUCCAAAUUACCCCAAACUGCGUCAUUUAGAGGAAGCAAAAGUCGUAACAAGGUAUCUGUAGGUGAACCUGCAGAUG
This 1827-nucleotide ribosomal RNA is filed under the name bioreactor sludge metagenome. RNAcentral describes it as "bacterial SSU rRNA". It matches the Rfam family "Eukaryotic small subunit ribosomal RNA". The record is from RNAcentral.